Long non-coding RNA from Homo sapiens (human), 1935 nucleotides. Ensembl annotates it as GMDS divergent transcript. Its record names the gene GMDS-DT. Lineage: Eukaryota; Metazoa; Chordata; Mammalia; Primates; Hominidae. The record is from Ensembl.
GCCGCCACCGCCUCAGGGAAGAGGAAGGAGGCCGCGGCUUCGCGUCCCGCCUCUCGCCUGGCUGGCCGUGGGGGGCCUGGACGCAGUGGCCUCCCGAAUCUCCCAGGACCCUAAUAUCGCCCGAGGAUGCUGGGAGGAACGCUGAGCCGACCUCUCCGUUAGGCUGAAGAUUGCACAAACCAUGCUAAUGGCCAGCAUGGAUGGAGGGAGCGUGUGAGAUGUGUGGGGCAGCGUGCUGCAUCUCAGCCAACUCCAGGAGGGCCUGUCUUGAGAUGCACCUUGUUUGCCCACGGGGGAAACGUGCUUUGGAAAGUGCUGGACACCAUGGCUGUGCAGGCCCAAGAAGAUGGAACGAAGUCUGUUUGUGGAAACACCCUUCCCCUCUGUUUACUUGGACCUGAUUUUGAAAGUAACAAGUCACUUUAUUUGGGCUGGAGGAAAAAGCACUAAACCAGAUGUUGAGGUGACCGGGAUUCCUGGAAGACAUUCUUCUCUCCAACGAGACACAUGAUGCAUGAAGUAGGAGCCCCUGGCAAGGAGCCCAGGCUGCCAUGGCCUCGCUCGCUCCUGCUUCCCGGCAUGGCCCCGAGGCUAGCUGCCUCUGUACUGCCUGAGCAUCGUCCCCUGGCGUGUCACCAGACUACCCACUACCUGUGCUUGCACCUGCAGGUGGGCAGUUCAGUCGUUGCAGGCUGAAGCUCCCUGUCACAGGAGUCCAUCAGCACUGGAGUUUACCAAAUGGCCCAGUCCAGGAAGCAUGCUCAUGGCAAUACCCGGAGUCUCCACUGCAAGACCAGAGUGACGGAGGCAGCAGAGCUCCUCAGCAGGCCAGGAGUCUCCAGAGGCACUGCCGAAUGUCUAAGAAGCAACCUCAUUGUAUUCCCAAGACCUGGGAAUCCAGGUCUCGCAGAUACGAUGAUACAAUCUAUAGCCAGGACAUCUCUUCAUGUGUAGUUUUCAAUGAAUACUAGGAUAAGCAACUAUCCCAGUCUUCCCAGGAUUGAGGGGCUUCUCCAGAUGCUGCACUUCUGGUGCUAAAAAUGAGAAACUGAAAUGAAUUAGUCACCCAAGGAAUGCUGACCCUGUGCUAUAUGAUCACAUUUACUCUUUAAAGCAAUGCUUUGAGAACAAUUGAGCUGCAUAGUCCCUGCAAUCUUAUAAAGGCAUUUGGCCUGGAAGAUGCUCUGCAGCCAUGUGCCAAGAAUAACGGCUAUAGGGACAAUGUUUCAUUAACCCCAAAGCAGCAACCUGAACCUCUUACUGUACAAUAUCUGCUCCGUUCAGAAUUAGCUCGACUUGAGUCACAGGAUGAAGCUUACCAAAAGGAAUUUCCACGUCCAAGGAAGGAACCAAGAUCACUGAGAGGUUAUAGUAUGAAAAGUGAAGAGAAAAAACCUAUUCUAAACAUUUUAUUAAUUGUCAAUAAUUAUUUUAAAAUAUUUAAUAUAGUCUCCUACCUGGUCCACUGGCAUCAAGCUGCCAAAUUUACACGGUCACUUUGGGAAGCCAGCUGGCAGGCAAACAUGGAAAGUGCUGGCUCCUAGCGUAGUGAGAAGACCACAGAUAGAUGGUAAUUUUCUUCUUUGUUUUAUUUUUCUUUUUCUUCUCUCCCUCUUUUUCUUCCCUCUUGCCUUUCCCUCCCAUUGCCCACUUUCUUUUUUUGGCUGCCGAAGAUUUAUUGCCUUUCAGUACUUAUAGAUGAUGUUUUCAUAAGUUCUAAUGAGGUCCCAGCAGUUUUUAACAAUAACAGGACAUUACUGUUCCUAAGAUAUAUUAUGUGUUUUCCCUCAUCUUUCUCCCUUGAAUGAAAUGCUUAGAAGUAGGCUAACCCCCAAUUCCCUUCCCUUUACUAUGAUAAAUGGCUCCAUUACUUAAUAGGGCUAAAUACUCUGCUGUGACUUUUAUACUGCUGAUUUGAAUAAAAUCUUACGAAAA